CCUACGGGAGGCAGCAGUGAGGAAUAUUGGUCAAUGGACGAGAGUCUGAACCAGCCAAGUAGCGUGAAGGAUGACUGCCCUAUGGGUUGUAAACUUCUUUUAUAUGGGAAUAAAAUGUUCCACGUGUGGGAUUUUGUAUGUACCAUAUGAAUAAGCAUCGGCUAACUCCGUGCCAGCAGCCGCGGUAAUACGGAGGAUCCGAGCGUUAUCCGGAUUUAUUGGGUUUAAAGGGAGCGUAGGUGGAUUGUUAAGUCAGUUGUGAAAGUUUGCGGCUCAACCGUAAAAUUGCAGUUGAAACUGGCAGUCUAGAGAACAGUAGAGGUAGGCGGAAUACGUGGAGUAGCGGUGAAAUGCUUAGAUAUCACGAAGAACUCCGAUAGCGAAGGCAGUUCACUGGACUGCAACUGACACUGAGGCUCGAAAGUAUGGGUAUCAAACAGGAUUAGAUACCCUUGUAGUC
Molecule: ribosomal RNA, 460 nt
Filed under: uncultured bacterium
Lineage: Bacteria
Description: partial 16S ribosomal RNA
Rfam family: Bacterial small subunit ribosomal RNA
Source: RNAcentral